AACGAACGCUGGCGGCAUGCCUAACACAUGCAAGUCGAACGAUGCUUUCGGGCAUAGUGGCGCACGGGUGCGUAACGCGUGGGAAUCUGCCCUUGGGUUCGGAAUAACAGUGAGAAAUUGCUGCUAAUACCGGAUGAUGUCUUCGGACCAAAGAUUUAUCGCCCAGGGAUGAGCCCGCGUAGGAUUAGCUAGUUGGUGGGGUAAUGGCCUACCAAGGCGACGAUCCUUAGCUGGUCUGAGAGGAUGAUCAGCCACACUGGGACUGAGACACGGCCCAGACUCCUACGGGAGGCAGCAGUGGGGAAUAUUGGACAAUGGGCGCAAGCCUGAUCCAGCAAUGCCGCGUGAGUGAUGAAGGCCUUAGGGUUGUAAAGCUCUUUUACCCGGGAUGAUAAUGACAGUACCGGGAGAAUAAGCUCCGGCUAACUCCGAG
This 433-nucleotide ribosomal RNA is filed under the name uncultured bacterium. RNAcentral describes it as "partial 16S ribosomal RNA". It matches the Rfam family "Bacterial small subunit ribosomal RNA", at positions 29 to 507 of the family's 1533-position model. The record is from RNAcentral.